ACUCAAUCCAUUAUUAUUUCCCUUAGUGGAUAGCAGAGGGGUGUUUUAAUCUUUCCCCAUUGGGCCUUCUUGAAGGAAGUCUACCCACCCUUUGGUUUCUCUCUCUUUUAUCUCUUUUGCUGGCUCUUGGCCUGUGUUCAGUGUGGGCCCCUGGACCACAGCACCUGCAUCUCUGCCCACCCCCAGCCCAAAAGGAAGUGCCUCUAAAAAAGCAGAGUUGGGAGUGGCCUUUCUGCUCUUUGGUCCCAACCUUCAAGGCUCCUCCCAUCCCAAUCACAAUAUAAUAAAACCAGUGACCAAUGGAGGGAGAGUCCUUGGAGCAAGUUUAGAACCAGGACCCAGAAGAAAGGGUCAAGGGAGAAUCUCUCUGGUGUCUUGCAGCUAGGAGCAUGGGGGGAACCCUUCUCUUGCUUUUGCUUUCCCAACUUCCUGCUCACCUGUCCUGUGCCCACAUGAAGCAGGAGGUCUCUGUCACAGGCAUUCAGGGAGACUCAGCUCGAAUGACCUGUCAGGUCUCUAAUGCUGCUUCCAGCUGGAUACACUGGUACCGGUUUCAGGAUGGGAAGCCCCCACAGCGCCUUCUCUACUUGUCCCGGGUAUCAGGCGAGCUGCAUUUUGAUGAGGGCUUUGGCAGUAAUAAAUUUCAUGCUUUUAAGGAUCAGUUUAAUGGUGAGAAGUUUAUCUUGUUAAUCAAAAAGCUGGAAGUGAGAGACAGUGGCAUGUAUUACUGCGCUAUCUGGGACUGGGACGACCACAGUGCACCAGGAUGCAUCUCCUCCCCACACAAAAGGCCCUGCUGGAAACAACUUGGAUCAGCUGGUGCUGAACAAAGCAGGGAAAGCUUCUGCUUCAAC
RNAcentral lists this long non-coding RNA (854 nucleotides) under Monodelphis domestica (gray short-tailed opossum). Its description in RNAcentral is "lncRNA (ENSMODG00000041024.1)". Lineage: Eukaryota; Metazoa; Chordata; Mammalia; Didelphimorphia; Didelphidae. The record is from RNAcentral.